Long non-coding RNA from Oncorhynchus tshawytscha (Chinook salmon), 1664 nucleotides. RefSeq lists it as uncharacterized. The record is from RefSeq and is a predicted model, not a curated record. NCBI's taxonomy places the organism in Eukaryota, Metazoa, Chordata, Actinopteri, Salmoniformes, Salmonidae. The transcript is spliced from 2 exons.
AAUUUAAACUACAACUCCCAAACGUCACAUCGGCAAAAGGUUAGCACACAGCGGUGCGCGGAGAAGACACGUUUAGCAGUCAGAAAUAUUGUACUGUAGUAGCUUUAAAUUACAUUCCUGGGGGAAUGCACUUUUUAAAGUCUACUCACUGGUGGCUUCCCAGUCGACUCACUCACCAUUGGGCUAUCCUCUACUCUCUUCACUGCCUCGGCAUAGGAAACUUUCUGCCCCACGUGAACUCUGGCAAUCUCAACCUGUCUCCCUCUCACAGGGCACUUCAGAUCCACAGCUGCAUGGGAACCCCCACAAUUGACAGACAGGGCUUUUUCUAUGCCAACUGUACACUCCCUCUGACUGCCCUCCUGCACAUUUUUUACAUUGUGGGAUCUCACUGCUGCAAUGUGUCCGAAUCGUUGGCACUUAAAGCACCAAAGUGGGUUCGAAACAGGCCCUCGCAGAAAAUCUAAUAUAACCUAACCAGACCUUAUGAGGUAGAAACUCUGUGUCAAAGCUCAACAAAACUGACAGGGUAUUGUCAGUCUCGCCAUUGCCACCCGGUCUACAUCUCACCAAACAGCAGGCGUCACAAAUACUAGGAAUAUUCCUUUUCAUUUCGUCCACCUCUAUACUCAACACUAUCACCCCUUUUAGCGGUACCCUGCUCCGGAGAGCAAAGCACACCACCGGUUGAGCCCCGGGCCGUGUGACUCGAAGUGCCUGCUCUGUCGCUGCAGGUAAUCCUGGACUGGCUCAACCUCAGAGUGCUCACCACUGCUGUCUGACUCCAUUUAGAGAUCGUCAAGAUUCUCAAGAGUGCAUGAAGACCUAUAAGUAAUAUUACUUGGUUUGUAAUCAGGAGACAUAGGUAUGUGCACCUCGAACGAAGGUGUAUACCCAGGAGACAUAUCUCUGAUCUUAACAGCGCAAUUCUUAAGCUAUCGCAUCAUCAUACCUCCCGAAAAGAAAUAAACUGGACCUCUUUCCCUCCACCAAUGCUCUGCUUACAUUCAGACUGAAUACAUGUAGGCUCCUUCUUCAAUGGUUGUGUUCUUCCCAUUACCCCAUCCCUUACUUUUAACUCUCAUUAAUUAUUGGCAAUUAACAUGCAUUAUGUUUAUUCAAAAUGACAUGAAAUCAUCGACCACCCUCUUACCAGCUCCUUAUGCUCAAGCCAUGAAAUCAUCGACCACCCUCUUACCAGCUCCUUAUGCUCAAGCCAUGAAAUCAUCGACCACCCUCUUACCAGCUCCUUAUGCUCAAGCCAUGAAAUCAUCGACCACCCUCUUACCAGCUCCUUAUGCUCAAGCCAUGAAAUCAUCGACCACCCUCUUACCAGCUCCUUAUGCUCAAGCCAUGAAAUCAUCGACCACCCUCUUACCAGCUCCUUACGCUCAAGCCAUGAAAUCAUUGACCACCCUCUUACCAGCUCCUUAUGCUCAAGCCAUGAAAUGACCCUUUCCUUCUUCAGAAGUUGCAGCUUUCAAAGACUUGGCCUCUAUUGCUUGACCUGUCAUGAUAUAUUAUUAUAUUGCUAGUUUGUUUUUUGCUCUUCAAGUGCUUUGAGACUCUAUGGAAAGCGCUAUAGAAAUGUAAUCAAUUAUUAUUAUUAUAACCUAGACGGCAUAUUGUAAAAACAUCACAAAUUAAACAGACAUUCAAGUAUG